GAUGAACGCUGGCGGCGUGCCUAAUACAUGCAAGUCGAGCGAACAGACGAGGAGCUUGCUCCUCUGACGUUAGCGGCGGACGGGUGAGUAACACGUGGAUAACCUACCUAUAAGACUGGGAUAACUUCGGGAAACCGGAGCUAAUACCGGAUAAUAUAUUGAACCGCAUGGUUCAAUAGUGAAAGACGGUUUUGCUGUCACUUAUAGAUGGAUCCGCCGCAUUAGCUAGUUGGUAAGGUAACGGCUUACCAAGGCAACGAUGCGUAGCCGACCUGAGAGGGUGAUCGGCCACACUGGAACUGAGACACGGUCCAGACUCCUACGGGAGGCAGCAGUAGGGAAUCUUCCGCAAUGGGCGAAAGCCUGACGGAGCAACGCCGCGUGAGUGAUGAAGGUCUUCGGAUCGUAAAACUCUGUUAUUAGGGAAGAACAAAUGUGUAAGUAACUAUGCACGUCUUGACGGUACCUAAUCAGAAAGCCACGGCUAACUACGUG
Molecule: ribosomal RNA, 495 nt
Filed under: uncultured bacterium
Lineage: Bacteria
Description: partial 16S ribosomal RNA
Rfam family: Bacterial small subunit ribosomal RNA
Source: RNAcentral